CAACUCGAUUGCUGAUGGAUAACCAAAAUCAUAAAAAAAUUCCUCUUUGACGGGCCGAUAGCGAUAUUGGCCUUUUUUUU
Molecule: small RNA, 80 nt
Rfam family: sroB RNA
Source: Rfam